RNAcentral lists this ribosomal RNA (397 nucleotides) under uncultured bacterium. Its description in RNAcentral is "partial 16S ribosomal RNA". It matches the Rfam family "Bacterial small subunit ribosomal RNA", at positions 523 to 918 of the family's 1533-position model. The record is from RNAcentral.
AUACGCAGGGGGCGAGCGUUGUCCGGAAUGAUUGGGCGUAAAGGGCGCGUAGGCGGCGCGGUAAGUCUGGAGUGAAAGUCCUGCUUUCAAGGUGGGAAUUGCUUUGGAUACUGCCGCGCUUGAGUGCAGGAGAGGUUAUCGGAAUUCCCGGUGUAGCGGUGAAAUGCGUAGAGGUCGGGAGGAACACCAGUGGCGAAGGCGGGUUUCUGGACUGUGUCUGACGCUCAGAUGCGAAAGCCAGGGUAGCGAACGGGAUUAGAUACCCCGGUAGUCCUGGCCGUAAACGAUGGGUACUAGGUGUGGGAGGUAUCGACUCCUUCCGUGCCGGAGUUAACGCAAUAAGUACCCCGCCUGGGGAGUACGGCCGCAAGGCUUAAACUCAAAGGAAUUGACGGGG